AUUGAACGCUGGCGGCAUGCCUUACACAUGCAAGUCGAACGGCAGCAUGGAGAGCUUGCUCUCUGAUGGCGAGUGGCGAACGGGUGAGUAAAGCAUCGGAACGUACCGUGUAGUGGGGGAUAACGUAGCGAAAGUUACGCUAAUACCGCAUACGCACUGAGGUGGAAAGCAGGGGAUCGUAAGACCUUGCGCUAUACGAGCGGCCGAUGUCAGAUUAGCUAGUUGGUAGGGUAAAGGCCUACCAAGGCGACGAUCUGUAGCGGGUCUGAGAGGAUGAUCCGCCACACUGGGACUGAGACACGGCCCAGACUCCUACGGGAGGCAGCAGUGGGGAAUUUUGGACAAUGGGGGCAACCCUGAUCCAGCCAUGCCGCGUGAGUGAAGAAGGCCUUCGGGUUGUAAGGCUCUUUCGGCCGGGAAGAAAUCGCACAGGCUAAUACCCUGUGUGGAUGACGGUACCGGCAUAAGAAGCACCGGCUAACUACGUGCCAGCAGCCGCAGUAA
This 504-nucleotide ribosomal RNA is filed under the name uncultured bacterium. RNAcentral's name for it is "partial 16S ribosomal RNA". It matches the Rfam family "Bacterial small subunit ribosomal RNA", at positions 30 to 523 of the family's 1533-position model. The record is from RNAcentral.